This 252-nucleotide ribosomal RNA is filed under the name Paraprevotella clara YIT 11840. RNAcentral's name for it is "partial 16S ribosomal RNA". It matches the Rfam family "Bacterial small subunit ribosomal RNA", at positions 524 to 776 of the family's 1533-position model. RNAcentral also lists the same sequence under 1 other name. Lineage: Bacteria; Pseudomonadati; Bacteroidota; Bacteroidia; Bacteroidales; Prevotellaceae. The record is from RNAcentral.
UACGGAAGAUGCGAGCGUUAUCCGGAUUUAUUGGGUUUAAAGGGAGCGUAGGCGGGCUUUUAAGUCAGCGGUCAAAUGUCACGGCUCAACCGUGGCCAGCCGUUGAAACUGCAAGCCUUGAGUCUGCACAGGGCACAUGGAAUUCGUGGUGUAGCGGUGAAAUGCUUAGAUAUCACGAAGAACUCCGAUCGCGAAGGCAUUGUGCCGGGGCAUAACUGACGCUGAGGCUCGAAAGUGCGGGUAUCAAACAGG